Molecule: long non-coding RNA, 1049 nt
Organism: Pan troglodytes (chimpanzee)
Lineage: Eukaryota; Metazoa; Chordata; Mammalia; Primates; Hominidae
Exons: 4
Source: RefSeq, a predicted model, not a curated record
AUUCUAGAGGACUGGGCGGGGAGAUGGUGUCUUCCCGGCCGGGUGGCACUGACCGGUCAUGCUCAGGGCCCCCUUCUGGUUGCCGGUGCCUCACCUCUGGCCAGGUGGCAUCGGCUUCCGGGUAAAUCUGAGCUGCCCAAAGCGAGCCUCCGGAGGCUGCUCCAUCUCCUGGAACGUUUACUCAUUCAGGCCUCUGGACGUCGAUACUGGGGAUGAAAAGUUCAGAAAGUGGACAGAUUCCUGGUCUUCAGUCCAGACCUACUGAGUUAAAAUAUUGAGGAGAGAUGGAGCUCAACAGAUGCCCUAGGUGACUCUGAUGUGGCCUAAGUCUGGGGAAACAGUACACCCUGCAGUACUUCUCCAACCUAACAGAAAUGCGGAUUCUGAUUCGCAAUGUUUCCUGAAAUAUACCUGAGCUUGGAACAGCAUGGAUCUGUACGAGCUGGUGCCCCACUAGUUGAUGACGUGGCUUCAUGAAAACAGAGGAGCACCUCACCACAAGAAGAGACCCUUGCAGUAGGAAACAAAGCUGCGUGAGAAGAGUUUCAGUCUCUGUGGGUGACUCUCCAAGAGUUGGAAUGCACUGGUCACGGUGUUGACAACACAGAUAAGAGGAAUCACAUUUAGAAAUAAGUAAUCCCAUGUGGCAGCCAGAGAGAUGGGUGGUAAGAGGCUGAGAGACGCUCUUGGAGCAGGGUCGUCAGUGAGCACCGACAGCUGGAGUGGGCAGCGCUGGAUGCAUCGCCUGCCUGGCCCCCAACCUCAUUUACCCACAGCCUGCCUGACCUUGCUGAACUCCAUCCCAGAUCCUCAUUUGGUGAACCUGGGCUAUAGACUUAGGCUUUGCCUGGCAUUUGUUUGGAGCUGGAUGCUUGGGCAUGGCUGUCUGGUCAUGAUGACAUGGAUCACCAGCCCUGGAGCUCUGGGUAGCUGGAGAGAGCCACUGAAACUGGCCACCUAUUUGGCUUUGUUGUGGCAGAGACUAGCUUAUUUCUAGGGCUCCAUCUAGAUCUUCUAGCUUCAUGCUUCCUAUUAAUACUCCGAUUCAU